RNAcentral lists this transfer RNA (73 nucleotides) under Aplysia californica (California sea hare). Its description in RNAcentral is "tRNA-Lys (CTT) (tRNA-Lys-CTT-3-1)". It matches the Rfam family "tRNA". Rfam says of the family: Transfer RNA (tRNA) molecules are approximately 80 nucleotides in length. Their secondary structure includes four short double-helical elements and three loops (D, anti-codon, and T loops). Further hydrogen bonds mediate the characteristic L-shaped molecular structure. tRNAs have two regions of fundamental functional importance: the anti-codon, which is responsible for specific mRNA codon recognition, and the 3' end, to which the tRNAs corresponding amino acid is attached (by aminoacyl-tRNA synthetases). tRNAs cope with the degeneracy of the genetic code in two manners: having more than one tRNA (with a specific anti-codon) for a particular amino acid; and 'wobble' base-pairing, i.e. permitting non-standard base-pairing at the 3rd anti-codon position. The record is from RNAcentral. Lineage: Eukaryota; Metazoa; Mollusca; Gastropoda; Aplysiida; Aplysiidae.
UCCCGGUUAGCUCAGCUGGUAGAGCGUCAGACUCUUAUUCUGAAUGUCGAGGGUUCGAACCCCUCACUGGGAA